Molecule: ribosomal RNA, 344 nt
Filed under: Glomus sp. rp51
Lineage: Eukaryota; Fungi; Glomeromycota; Glomeromycetes; Glomerales; Glomeraceae
Description: eukaryotic LSU rRNA
Source: RNAcentral
UUGAAAGGGAAACGAUUGAAGUCAGUCGUACCUAUGGGUAAUCAGCCUUUUGGGUGUGAUUUUGUGGAGCGUGGGGAGUUAAACGCCUUCAUGCCUGCAUAUUCGUGCACUUUGGGUGUACUUGCCCGUGUGUAAGUUAACAUCAAUUUUGGUGGUCAUAAAAUGGCUGGAGGAAUGUAGCUUCGAUCUUGUAUUGAAGUGUUAUAGCCUUCGGUAGAUGUGACGAUCGGGAUUGAGGAUUGCAACGGAUACCCUUCGGGGCUACCUGUCUGAUCUCUGAUUGUUGCUCUGGUGCCGAAAGCUUGCUUACGGUUAUCAAAGUCGAUGGUCAAUAGGUUAGAACG